GGAAGAGAUGGAAGAAGAGAGAGGAUCCUCCCUAAUGGAAAGAAAAAUGACAAGCUAUCUGAUGUUGGAGAGAAAUCCCUUUUGAAAGUUCAGAAGGGAAAUAUUUCUCCAAUAAAGAAAGACUGUCAUGGAAGAGAUGGAAGAAGGUAGAGGAUCCUCCCUAAUGGAACGAAAAAUGACAAUCAUUCUGAUGUUGAGAUAUCCCUUUUGAAAGUUCAGAAGGGAAAUAUUUCUCCAAUGAAGAAAGACUGUCAUGGAAAGAUUAUGCCCAAUAAUCCUGUAAUAACUUAUCAAACUCUAACAUCAAAGCUGCAGAUUUAUUGACGAAUUUGGAGUUGCAGAGUAAGGCAGGAUGGGGUUCCAUUGUGUACCCUAUUUAAAGCCGCUAAAAUGAGAUAGAAGCUUGAGGCUCAUUAAGUAGCCAGAUAACAAUGGUUUCGUGUGAAGAUCCAAACUGUUUGAUGCGAAGAGCCAAUCUGUUAUAUGUGAAGAGCCAAACUGUUAUUUCCAAGUAACCCUAGGACACUGUAAAUCAAGAAAGUAUUUACCCUUGCAACAUU
Non-coding RNA from Parasteatoda tepidariorum (common house spider), 560 nucleotides. The record is from RefSeq and is a predicted model, not a curated record. Lineage: Eukaryota; Metazoa; Arthropoda; Arachnida; Araneae; Theridiidae.